UACGAAGGGGGCUAGCGUUGCUCGGAAUCACUGGGCGUAAAGGGCGCGUAGGCGGCCGUAUAAGUCGGGGGUGAAAGCCUGUGGCUCAACCACAGAAUUGCCUUCGAUACUGUACGGCUCGAGACCGGAAGAGGUAAGUGGAACUGCGAGUGUAGAGGUGAAAUUCGUAGAUAUUCGCAAGAACACCAGUGGCGAAGGCGGCUUACUGGUCCGGUUCUGACGCUGAGGCGCGAAAGCGUGGGGAGCAAACAGGAUUAGAUACCCUGGUAGUCCACGCUGUAAACGAUGAAUGCUAGCCGUUGGCAAGCUUGCUUGUCAGUGGCGCAGUUAACACAUUAAGCAUUCCGCCUGGGGAGUACGAUCGCAAGAUUAAA
This 374-nucleotide ribosomal RNA is filed under the name uncultured bacterium. RNAcentral describes it as "bacterial SSU rRNA". It matches the Rfam family "Bacterial small subunit ribosomal RNA", at positions 524 to 898 of the family's 1533-position model. The record is from RNAcentral.